This 496-nucleotide ribosomal RNA is filed under the name uncultured bacterium. RNAcentral describes it as "partial 16S ribosomal RNA". It matches the Rfam family "Bacterial small subunit ribosomal RNA", at positions 28 to 523 of the family's 1533-position model. The record is from RNAcentral.
GAUGAACGCUAGCUGGAGGCUUAAUACAUGCAAGUCGAGCGGGAUUGGGUAGCAAUGCCCAUGAGAGCGGCGCACGGGUGAGUAACGCGUACACGACCUACCUCUAACAGGGGGAUAGCCCUGGGAAACUGGGAUUAAUACCGCAUAUUAUUCUGAAUAAUAAAGGUUUGGAAUGAAAGCUGAGGCGGUUAGAGAUGGGUGUGCGUCUGAUUAGCUAGUUGGUAGGGUAACGGCCUACCAAGGCGAUGAUCAGUAGGGGGCGUGAGAGCGUGGUCCCCCACACGAGUACUGGGACACGGACCCGAGUCCUACGGGAGGCAGCAGUAAGGAAUAUUGGUCAAUGGGCGAAAGCCUGAACCAGCCAUCCAGCGUGCAGGAAGAAGGCCCUAUGGGUUGUAAACUGCUUUUAUCAGGGAAGAAACCUCUGGAUUUACUCCGGAGCUGACGGUACCUGAAGAAUAAGCACCGGCUAACUCCGUGCCAGCCGCCGCGGUAA